UAGGGAAUCUUCCGCAAUGGACGCAAGUCUGACGGAGCAACGCCGCGUGAGUGAAGAAGGAUUUCGGUUCGUAAAACUCUGUUGUUAGAGAAGAACAGCGCAUAGAGUAACUGUUAUGCGUGUGACGGUAUCUAACCAGAAAGCCACGGCUAACUACGUGCCAGCAGCCGCGGUAAUACGUAGGUGGCAAGCGUUGUCCGGAUUUAUUGGGCGUAAAGCGAGCGCAGGCGGUCAAUUAAGUCUGAUGUGAAAGCCCCCGGCUCAACCGGGGAGGGUCAUUGGAAUCUGGUUGACUUGAGUGCAGAAGAGGAGAGUGGAAUUCCAUGUGUAGCGGUGAAAUGCGUAGAUAUAUGGAGGAACACCAGUGGCGAAGGCGACUCUCUGGUCUGUAACUGACGCUGAGGCUCGAAAGCGUGGGUAGCAAACAGG
RNAcentral lists this ribosomal RNA (429 nucleotides) under Bacteroidota bacterium. RNAcentral describes it as "Bacteroidetes bacterium partial 16S ribosomal RNA". It matches the Rfam family "Bacterial small subunit ribosomal RNA", at positions 355 to 776 of the family's 1533-position model. The record is from RNAcentral. Lineage: Bacteria; Pseudomonadati; Bacteroidota.